UCAACCUAACCUUUGUAUGGGAGGUGGGUGUGGUUAUUAUCCGAUUUCUUUCAUUUUUGGACUGUAUAAGGAAACGGCUAAAGCAAACGACUGCAGAAAGCGAGUUAUAUACAAAAAACAUAUUUGAGGGCGGAGUCAUGCCCACUUUUCCAAAAAAAAUUACAUCCAAAUGUGCCCCUCCCUAAUACGAUCCUAUGUUCACAAAUUUUAUUUUCAUAACUUUAUUUAUAGCUUAGUUAUGACACUUUAUGUGUUUUUGGUUUUCGCCCAUUUGUGGGCGUGGCAAUGGUCCGAUUUUGCCCAUUUUCGAAAGGGUGCCAAGGAAUACGUGUUCCAAGUUUCGUUAAGAUAUUUUAAUUUUUACUCAAGUUAUCCGUUGGACGGACAGACGGACGGACGGACGGACAGACAGACAUUCGGAUUUUGACUCGUCUCGUCACCCUGAUCAUUUUGAUAUAUAUAACCCUAUAUCUAACUCGUUUAGUUUUAUGACUUGCAAACAACCGUUAGGUGAACAAAACUAUAACACUCUCUUAGAAACUUUUGUUGCGAGAGUAUAAAAAUAAAAGCACACCAAGAGAAAUAAUAUGAAUUUAUGCAAAACCAUUGGCUUUCAGUUAAUAAAAUUUAGUUCUGUAAUUGCAAAGCUUGGCUUAUAAUAGGAAGAACUUUUGGUGGUCAUCAAAUGAAGGUCUACUAUAAACACUCCGAAAUAUACUAAUAUGUUCUCUUUAUUAUUUUUGUCAGCAUAUAUUAAGAAUUAUUUUUUAGUUCGAUAUGGUUUAAAAGCGUGUUUUUAUUUUUUUUUUUUAAAUAUAUUUAUUAAAUGUAUAAAAGAGAGAUGCACGUACUACAAUGAACCGUUAAAAAGUCGCCGCCAUUCAUUUGAAAAGAAAUUUUGGUGUGAAUGAACGUAAGUGCGUAUUAAUAAUUUGUUACUGAUAUUAUAUUAUGCCACUGGAGGCAGAUUUGUGAGUUGAUAAUAUUAAACCUUAUAGGUUUGUAUAUACUAUAACAUGAAAUCUUUUGUUUGAAUAUACGUUCAUAUUAAACUUACUAUUAUCUUCUUAUUAUCCUUUUCAGAAAUUUGCAAAAUUCGGAAGAAAAACUUAAGUGUAAGUUGGAUACCACCUUGGCAGGCUAACUGCUAUAGACAAGCCAAUCGAACAAGCUUUCCAAAUUUUCAUACAAACUGGCAGCACUGAAAUCGAAUUGUCUUUACUUGGUCGCACUGAACUCUUCUACCACCGCCCAUGUCUUACGUUUUCUACAACAAAUUUAAAUUUUAUUAAAAUUUUUUAUUCAAUAAAUUUAAUACAAAAAUACUGACGAUUCAUCUUCGCCUGCCAUUUUCAAUUUCAAAUUUGUGUAUAACAAUUUUUAUUAUUUUGACAGUGAUUUGUCCUUUGAGCCGUUCACAAUAGUAAAAUGGUUCCAAAAUGUGUAAAACAAAACUUGGUAGCACUCAGCAAGCGGCAAUUGAAAUUUUAAUGAGGUAUUCGCAUACUCUCCUGCUCGAAUUCAACUAGAUAACUUUGUUGUUGCUUUUAUAUGUAAAAUUUUUGACUGGCAAGAUAGCGAACAGAGAAGUGACAGCUAAACUAUAGUAAAACAAUAGCGACUCUAGGCAGAGGAUUCAUGGAAACAGAUUGCAUUAAUAUACACCAACAUUGCAAUAAUAAUAAUAAAAUAGUAAUGGAUGCUUAUGGUGAUAACAAUCAACAGAAUCCGCAAAAACAAAGUAGAGAUAAAGUAUUAUUCCCAUGAAGGAAGAAUCCUACCAGCAGCUCUUCAACUUAUACAACGGCAAUUGCCUUUCAAUCGUACAAUACACAUUCGAACUCAAAUACGCCGUAUGAUCGAGAAGCACUCAUAUUCUUUUGCCCAUUGUGUCAGGAAGUAACCAAAAUCGUGCACCUAUAAAUACAACACAAAAUAUACUACAACAGAUAUUAUUGAAAUUACGAAUAUAGACAAUUUAAUUAUUUCUAACCAACUAUACAUAUUUUCAGGCAUUGGACAAUGUACAACAAAUUAUGUCGGACUUUUGGAGUAGCAGUUUCACUACUUAUUUUCCACAUGCUAAACACAGUAUCUCCUAUGAUGUUCCUGGAUCUAGAUCAUAAAUGCCUUAACUUUACUGUCUUUAAACAGCUUAAAAUCUUAAAUUUAAUACAUAACAUCAAACAACAUUCAUAACUGUAAGGCAUUUCGCGCAGUGCCCUUUUUAGACAACAGCACGACUUCGCGACAGCAGACUUGAAGUUGUCGCUGUCGCCAAAUUAGAAAUGUUUCUAAUGUUAGAAAUGUUUCUAAUUUUGUCGACUCUACAGCGGCCGAGUUGCCACUAUUAUGUGCAAUGUCAAAAUGUUUAAAGUUCUAUCAAGUGUUACGUUAUUAUGCCAACAGAAGUACAAUAUUGCUUUGAUAUAGGAACGGAUUUUCAAAAUCUGUUGUUUACUCUAAAACUCUACCCUGAGUUCGAUCACUGGAUUGUCAAAUAAAAGCCACACUUUAAUGGCUACACACUAAUCUUUAUUUAUAAUUCCUUAUAACUUAACACUUUAUUACUCAAAACUCUACUUUACAACUCUAACUUGUAACUUGUUUACACUUUACUCGACAACUCUCUCAUUAGAACUGAGUGUUGCCGCUAGUCCGGCAGCCCUUAUAUAGUCGAUUGUAAGCGAUACAUCGCCACUCGAACAUUCUGGCAACUACGAAUAUCGAUGUCUAGAUACAUCUGGCAAGUUAUCGAUUUCAAUUGUCAAUUCUAGUUUGUUCUGGUGUCAUUUUCGUUACAAUACCAACACAAUAAGAUUGAUUCUUCAAUUUUUCUAAGGCUUUCGUGAUUUUCAAAAAUUCUCGGUUGGCACCUUUGUGCGUCUCAUUGCGCCUCCUGCUGCUUCAAUUGUGUAGACACCUGUGCUGAAACCUGCGAUGGUAUACACUCUCCAUGCACUUGCAUCUGUGUUAACACUUCUGCUCUAUUUAAGGUCACAUCCAUAUACUCGUCCUCCUUCAACUGUGAGGACACCCCAUUCACUUCCAACUGGGAUAACAAAAUCUAUCCAUGCGCUUCCAAAGGUCUUGGCAUACACGUCUCUUUCACUUCCAAAUAUGUGGACGUAUUCUCCCCAUGCUCUUCCAGCUGUCUUAAUAUGUCUGCUCUAUUUGAGGACACUUCCAUUAUACAACACAAUAUAUCAUUUGUAAUAACAAUCCUCUACAAGACGGAGCUAACUCAUACACCACUAUACAUGUAAAGUUUUUCAGGUUUUACCAACACAUACACAAUAGUAACUUUUUGUAGUUAAAUGGCAAUCUCGGUAGUUAGAGUAGCAACAUUCAUUAACCCUAAUUUUUGUAUGUAUAAGACAGAGAUGCACAUGGCCGCCAUUCAUAUGAAAAGAAAAUUUGAAGUGAAUGGAUAGCGGUACUAUGUUUGACUGGGUGCUGCAGCGUAUUUUAAUUGAAUAUAACUGCAGAAAAUGGUCUCGAAAGGCAAAGCGGGCUGCAACGCACAUCUGGUGCGUACAUGCAAAACUAAAAAGAGAAGCAGAACAAUGAUUAUGCCACUUUAGGCAGAUGGGUGAGUUGAUAAUUUCAAACCUUAUAUAUAUAUUUGAAAACUUCGGAAGAAAAACUAAAGCUGAAGCUGGAUACCACCGAUAUACUCCCAUAUAGGAAGGUAGCUAUACUUGGUAUGGGUGCGGGGAAUCCUACUAGCAGUUCUUCAAGACAUACAACGGCAAUCGCUCAUCAAUUGUACAAUACAAAUUCGAAUUAGAAUUCGACGUAUGAUGGAAGCAGCACUCGUAGCCCUUUGUGUCAGGAAAUAACAAAAAUCAUGCACCUAGAAAUACAACACAAAAUAUGCUACAACAACAGAGUUGGUAUUAAUAUUUCCAUGCUUAUAAUAUUGGUGGAUAAUCGCCACAUGGUGUAACAAGUGUAGCAGCAACAACAAAUAAUACAUAUUCAAAUUCGCAACAAAAGUCAAAAUCGCACAACGCAACCGGCAAAUAAUAAGGUAUCGGAUGAUGUACAACAAAGUACAUCGGAACUUUUGGAGUAGUAGUUUCACUACUUAUUUUCGACGUGCUAAACACAGAGUCUCCUAUAUUGCCCUUGGAUCUACACAAUGGAUAGUUAACAUAACAACAAAGCUCGAAAAAACAAUAAACGCAGAAUUUGUUUAUCCUACUUCUGAUUUGACUAUGCUGAACUUACCGUUUAUCAUUUUCAAUAUUAUGAUUGUUAAUUUAUAAAUUAAAUUAAUAUCUAUAUACAAAUGAAUGUACGAAUAUUUGUAACAAUCGUAACAGUAGUGAAAUUGAAUUUGUAUUGUAUAACAACACAAAAAAACAAUACUUAAAACUUUUGAGAUAUUGUAAAUUAUAAAAAUUUAUUAAUUCAUACUAACUUUAUAUAUAAAAUAGGUACAUUUUUUCAAUGUAUAAAUGAUAUCUACAAAAAUGUUUG
Zeugodacus cucurbitae (melon fly) is the source of this 4485-nucleotide long non-coding RNA. RefSeq lists it as uncharacterized. NCBI's taxonomy places the organism in Eukaryota, Metazoa, Arthropoda, Insecta, Diptera, Tephritidae. The record is from RefSeq and is a predicted model, not a curated record. The transcript has 5 exons.